This 253-nucleotide ribosomal RNA is filed under the name uncultured bacterium. RNAcentral's name for it is "partial 16S ribosomal RNA". It matches the Rfam family "Bacterial small subunit ribosomal RNA", at positions 524 to 776 of the family's 1533-position model. The record is from RNAcentral.
UACGAACCGGGCAAACGUUAUUCGGAAUUACUGGGCUUAAAGGGUGCGUAGGCGGCGCUGUAAGUCGGGUGUGAAAUCCCACGGCUCAACCGUGGAAUUGCGCCCGAUACUGCAGUGCUUGAGGAAGAUAGAGGUGAGCGGAACGAAUGGUGGAGCGGUGAAAUGCGUUGAUAUCAUUCGGAACACCCGUGGCGAAAGCGGCUCACUGGGUCUUUUCUGACGCUGAUGCACGAAAGCUAGGGGAGCGAACGGG